This 250-nucleotide ribosomal RNA is filed under the name uncultured prokaryote. Its description in RNAcentral is "partial 16S ribosomal RNA". It matches the Rfam family "Bacterial small subunit ribosomal RNA", at positions 524 to 773 of the family's 1533-position model. The record is from RNAcentral.
UACGUAGGUGGCGAGCGUUGUCCGGAAUAACUGGGCGUAAAGGGAGCGUAGGUGGUUGGUUAAGUUAAAUGUGAAAGCCCAGGGCUCAACUCUGGAAUUGCAUUUAAUACUGGUCGACUAGAGUGCAGGAGGGGUAAACGGAAUUUCUAGUGUAGCGGUGAAAUGCGUAGAUAUUAGGAAGAACACCGGAGGCGAAGGCGGUUUACUGGACUGCAACUGACACUGAGGCUCGAAAGCGUGGGGAGCAAAC